Molecule: ribosomal RNA, 468 nt
Filed under: uncultured bacterium
Lineage: Bacteria
Description: partial 16S ribosomal RNA
Rfam family: Bacterial small subunit ribosomal RNA
Source: RNAcentral
GACGAACGCUGGCGGCGUGCUUAACACAUGCAAGUCGAACGGAAAGGCCCUGCUUUUGUGGGGUGCUCGAGUGGCGAACGGGUGAGUAACACGUGAGUAACCUGCCCUUGACUUUGGGAUAACUUCAGGAAACUGGGGCUAAUACCGGAUAGGAGCUCCUGCUGCAUGGUGGGGGUGGGAAAGUUUCGGCGGUUGGGGAUGGACUCGCGGGUUAUCAGCUUGUUGGUGGGGUAGUGGCUUACCAAGGCUUUGACGGGUGGCCGGCCUGAGAGGGUGACCGGCCACAUUGGGACUGAGAUACGGCCCAGACUCCUACGGGAGGCAGCAGUGGGGAAUAUUGCACAAUGGGCGGAAGCCUGAUGCAGCAACGCCGCGUGCGGGAUGACGGCCUUCGGGUUGUAAACCGCUUUCGCCUGUGACGAAGCGUGAGUGACGGUAAUGGGUAAAGAAGCACCGGCUAACUACGUG